This 471-nucleotide long non-coding RNA is filed under the name Dermacentor andersoni. Its description in RNAcentral is "uncharacterized LOC126545178". The record is from RNAcentral. Lineage: Eukaryota; Metazoa; Arthropoda; Arachnida; Ixodida; Ixodidae.
ACGGCCGCUAAUAGCGAGAAUUUUCGUUUUCUCUCUCCCCACGACUGCGCGCGUCAGGUUUCGCAGGAGACUGACAGGAAAGUUAGACCCUUCCACGUUUCUGCCUCUUCCAGCAGACACUCACCUCUCCGGAGAAUGCAAACUACACAGCUGCCAUUUUCUCUAUGCUAAUAUCAUUCAAAACGUUCAUUUUCUCAUGAACCAUCUUUCUAGCUACACUACUAUACUGUCCAUCUCAUACUUUCUCUCCUUCGGCACAUUUACUCCGUCUGUCAAUUGCAAGUUAUUGAUGUAUUGUUGCUCACUAUGUAACUAUUUAUCCAGUUCUUUGUCUUCUUCUAAUUGUUUUAUGCUAUAACUUUUGAUUGUUUUACAAUUUUACCUUUUUUUGUUCUUGUUCUUCUGUGCACCAACACUCAGACCUCAGUGUCACUCCUGGUCACAUUGAAUAAAUUACUGACUGAUACUGAA